This 8177-nucleotide long non-coding RNA is filed under the name Heterocephalus glaber (naked mole-rat). Its description in RNAcentral is "lncRNA (ENSHGLG00000043506.1)". The record is from RNAcentral. Lineage: Eukaryota; Metazoa; Chordata; Mammalia; Rodentia; Bathyergidae.
GGCCUCGGAGCGCCAGGGCCGUGAAGGGGUUAAUGAGCGGGGUUUGCGAAACGUGGGUACAGAGUGGAGAUGCAGGCAUCUCCCCAGCCCCGCGGACUCGGCCCUGAACCUCCCUUUCCUCUGGGGUCAGGCCUAAUAGCAUGCUUGGGGGCGUUGGCAGCUGUAGAGGGCGUGGGGGACAAGGCAAUCCCAGCGGUGCCCCCUAGGGCACCCCUAUCGCGGUGAAAGGCAACAGCAACGCCCCCUGCCCCCACCUGCAACCCGAGCCCCUGUGGGGCUUCUUGGAGAGGUAUGAGGGGGUUGGAGAGGUAUGAGGGGCGUUGGGGCUUGCAGCACCCGCUCCCUGACAGCUCUGUAGGACCCCUUCCCCCACUGGUGCCAGGUCCCUGCAGUGGGGCCAAGCGAGGGUGGGCUUUGUGUGGGCUGGGCAUGCGUGCCUGGAGGACCUGGGGUGGGCAUGGGACAGGGAGGAUGCCCACCCCAGCUGCCCUAGUGAUGUCCACGAUGCCGCAGGCUGUACACACGUUUCCUUGCACGUGCACGUGUCAACGUGGGCUGCACACUUGCACACCUCGUGUGCACAUGCCUGCCAAGGCUGCCCCAGUGUGCACAUGCACAACACUAGAGGAACACACAUGGACUCUGAGGGUGCACAUCCAUGUUCUCGCCCCCAUCUGCACACCUACAGACACACGCAUUCACAUAGCAUGCCUGCUGUGAUCUCCAUGCUUGCCACAUGCUUGGGCCCUGUAGUGGGAACUGCUCCCACACUGCAUGCUCAUGUUUAGUGAGGGAAGGCUCUGGGCAGCUGAGCCCCACAGAUAGAGGGGCAAGACCCUUGUCCCCACCUCUGUCUGUCCUGGGAGUCUCCCCUUUACACUCUUUUGGGUCAGUGUGUGCUUGUGUAAUAAGAUAUGUGACUGCACGUGUGUGUCUGGGUGCAUGACCAUGUGUCCCAGUGAGCACAUUAGCAUGUGUCACUCUUCCUCUUGGUGUGGGUGCCCCUUGUGUGCGCAGGAGGCCUAUAGCCAAAUCUGGAGCAUAGGCCCUUGGAACAUGUGUUGGGGGGCUUGUUCUGGGCCCCCACCCCAGGCUAUGAGCUACAGGGUCUCCUAGCUACUCCCCCAACCACCAGUGCUGGACCCCAUGGGUGGCUUGGAAUUUACCUGGUCAGAGAAGACCCAUCUCACAUCCUCAGGUCAAAAUCAUGACAGUCAGGCCAGACCCUGGGCACACUCAGCUGCCUCUGCAGCUCAGCUAACCAGGGCAGCUGACCUAACAUGACUUCAUACAGGCCUCAGUUUCUCUGUGAUGCAGACCUUCUGGUGAGGGGGUCCAUGGUGGUCUCACCUGCCUCAUAUGUUGUGUGGGGUGCUGGGGGAUUGGUAAAAGUGCUGGUGACCCAGUAACACUGGUGAGGAGGACUCUGAGCAGGGGCUCAGAGGCAGGGCCCCAUCCAUGGCUAUCUCUAGUGUCCCCAUCCAUAGAAUGAGGACAAGUAUGUCAUCCUGUAGGUUGUGUGGAGGUGAACAUGCUAAAAGAGGGGUGGGCAGCAGGGGUGGCCACUCCCAUUUACUAAACCUCAGUCUUCCCAUCUGCAAAGUGGACACUGUCCCCAUGCUUCUCCCGCAGAAGUGAGAAAGAAGUAUGCUCCCAUGCCACAGUCUUGGCUGGGUGGUGUUCAGCACCCAGACUCCUAGCAGAGGGGAGCUCACCAGGCCUGGGUAUGGCAUGACCUGGAUUUGAGUCCAGGCUCAAGCACCCAUUGGCAGUGUGCCUCUAUGCCUCGGUCUUCUUCACCUGUGACUUGGGCCAAUAAUCUGAGGUUGUUAGGCAUAUCAAAGGCCGACCUCCAGUGGGGUUGGCCCACUUUUCCCAAGGAGAUUUGACCCUGAUGCUUCUGCUUUCAAAAUGCCCAAAAUACCUCUCUUCAGUUAGCAGGGAACCUCCUGGGACCCCAGCACCACCAACUGGGUCUCUUCCUCCUCCCCAUUCACAGAUGGGGCAAUAAAAUCCCACAGAGGCUGCAGGGUGAGCAUUUCUGCUUAGGGGGAGGCCUUGAGCACUGAGGGUGAAGAGUUGGAUGGAUGGACGAAAGCCGGUGUCCUGCAUAGGCCCAGCUUCCUCAGGUGGAGGCAGCCGCGUCCCCAUGGCACCUCAGCCCAGGCCGGGGGGUCCAGGAGCAGAGUGAGUCGGGGAAGACACCAGAGAAGGCAAUCACAGCUCUGCUUGGCUCCGCUCCACUCCACGGCUGCUGAGGUGAGCUGCUGACCUCAGCAGCCGCAGGCCCACUGGCUCCUGCGGCUGCUGGGUGCCUCCCCAGAAGCCUCUCAGCCCACCUGGUCCGUCUCCCCUACCUCCUCCUCUGCAUGCACCCUUCUGUCCCCCUCACCCAGCCCCUCUGCCCCUGCCCCUUUGUCUCCUUCCCCCUCCUCUCCUUCCUCCAUCUUCCCCUUCCCAUCCCCCUUGCCCUCCCCCACUCUCCUCCCUUCCCCUCUUUCUCUCCUCCCCUCUUCUCUUUCCCUCCUCCUUCCCUUCCUGCAGUGAACAUGAACAUGGGCUCUUUGCUCACAAGAGCUUGUGGUGCUGGCUGAAUAGUGCACAUAGCCCAGGGGUUAUUCCGCGCUCCGUCUGGCUGCCCCUGGGGAGACUGGGUCAGUAUCCAGUCACUUUCCCCUGGGAAGUCGCAGAGCCUUCUGGACAGUUAGCCUCCCCCCUCAUCUCCUGAGUGUGGCUCUAAUGCCCUCCCUGGCUCCUAGCCAGAUCUGGCUAAGGCAGGAGCCCUUUGCUAGCCCCCACAUGGUGAUUCUGACAGGAGUUGGCCUGGGAAUGGCAGGAGUGACACUGGGUUGGGGAUAGCUCACGAGGCAAGCAGGAGUGACCACGCCUGAAGGGUGCUCCUUGCGGUUUCUGUGUGUGACAGGAGGCCACCUGGGGCAGUUUGCUCUCCACAUGUGCCUGGAUCACACUCACGUUGAGUGCUGAUGGAGAACUGGGACCCAAAAGAGAAUGGGUGAGAGUUGCAGGUAGCCGCCCAGGGGAGGAAGGGACAGCUGGGCUGGUCUCCAAGAGGAGGACAGAGUCUCUUGUGGGAAUCAGUAGGGAGGUUGAAGAGAGAGAAAGGAGAGAUGGACAAGGACAGGACAGGGAGGGGACCCCAGGCCUUGUGGCCAGCCAGGGGGACAGGCCAGAUGAAUAGGCUGGAGAGGACUUUUGGGAGCAGAGGCUGCUAGCCAAGAUGAAGGGCAGAGAGAGGUCAGGCGAGGCUGCCCUGGGGUGAGGUCAGGGGAUCCCUCCCACUGCCUGGCUGGCUCUUCCGUGUUUCCCGGCCCCUGCUGUGAAUACAAACCCAUGCUGCAAAGUUGGGUUUGAUUAUCUCAUAAAAAGAUGCCCCCUCAUGCUUGCUCAGCGGAGGGGUUGCUAUGGAGACCAGCGGGCAGGCCCAAGGGGGGCCAGGCUGGAGCCAAUUACUGUGGCUGCAGCAGAAGAAAGCCCACCCCGGCCGCUGCACCAACUCUCAGAAGUUGGUUUCCAAAAGACAGUUGUCUCGGCAGGAAUGGAGCUGUUUCUCUGCUGCCUGGCAGGGCUGACAACCACGCAGCUGCUCCCCCAGUUGCCCACUUUCCCAGCAUGGCUGUCCUGCAGCCAACCAGGGUGUGACACCAGCCAAACUCAGACCACGGCCUCAAGCUGGGGGCCACAGGACAUGGUGCAGUGGUGGCCUGGAUCCAUCACAAUGUGGUGGCUUGGUUACCACGCAUGAUGGGUGAUGCGGAUCAGUUGGCAGCAAGGUCCAGUCUGACAAGGUCCGGGCAGCAGUAUGUCUGUGGCAUGGUGUGGCUGAUGAUGUGGCCCACCGUGGCAGUGAGGCCCCCUCCCAGCCCAGGUCUUCCUGAGAUCCUGAGGGUUUUCAGAGCACAGGGCCUUUCUGUGACCACAGGUGAGACACUAUGGGGCAUGGUCAGGUGCACUUUGCCAAGGAGGUGUAAGAAGAGUGAGGAGAAGAUGUUUAAAUAGAACAUCAGGCCCCAGUGUCUCUCUCACAUGGCCAGCUGGGGGAGCAGGAAUUGGGAGCUCCUGACUAUGUGGACCUCCAUCCUGGGGCUGGGGAGGGGCUCCCAAGACCUGGGUGCAUCCUAGUGAUAGCUAUCCUUGCCUGGCUCACUAGGGCUCUGGAUUUAGGGCAAUUGCCUGUUCUGCUUCAGACAGAAGAGGACCCCAGCAUGGGGUGGGAGGCACAAGGUGCAGUCCUAAGUCCGGGAAGGUAGCCGAUGGUCUCUCUCCUCCCUCCAACUCCAACACCUAGCCAGCCUCCUGUCUGCAGAAUCCUGUUCUUAGCUGCCUGCCAAGGAAGGUGUUAGCUGUCAAGAAGGUGUUAGCUGAUAACUCAAGUGUUAGCUGAUAAGCCAUAACCCUCCCAGGGGGAUUCACAUUUUAAUAGACUCACUCCUGAAGAUGGAAAGAACCUUCAGUAUCCACAGGAGUGGGGCUCAGAUGGUGAGGGUGACCGGCAGUGUAGCUGACUAUUAGGGAUGUGGCCCUGCCAGUGAGGCCAGAUCUGCAUGUGGUGCCCCACCCCUAGGCCCCUCUAGUGCUGAGAGGCCCUUGUGAGGCCCCAAAUGUGUCUGACUUGUGAUUAGGAGGGGUGCAGCACCCCUGGGCUAGGGGAGACAACACCAAGAGCCUGUUCUGGUUGGGGAAGUGCCUGGGUGGGAGGGUUGAGAGCACCAGGAUUAUUCAGGAAUUGGUUGAGAAAAAUAAAACUCCUCCCCUGGGAGGGGAUCAAGCAGAGAAUGAGGCCAGGGUGGAGGCUGCUGAAGGUGUUCCAGCCAAGUCCGGAAGUGCUUAAAAGGGAGGCUGUGUGGAGGAGGGAGCAGCCUGGGCUUGGGGAUUUCCAGGGCAGGCCCGCACUCCUCUUCUCCCUCCUGCCAGCCCUUCUGGCACCCCAGACCCCUUCCUGGGAUAGCAGAGAUGCUAGUGGGAGGACUCACUUUGGGUCACCAAGGGCCACUGCCACUGGGGGCUACAGUAUCUUCAUUAAAGCACUGUGGCAUGGGCAGGGGGGAAUUCCCCUGGAAUCCCAGUUGCCAGGGCCUAAGAAAGACUUGGGGGUCUGGGCCACAACCCCCUCUUCUGCAGCCUGAGAGGGAGGGCCUGCUGCAGAAGCUGCCCAGGGCUCUGUGGCUAACUGCUUGGGUUUCCCCUCCUCAAGCUCUGCUUCCUCCCAGGCUAGGAGCUCAGCCCACUAGUGUUAACCUAGAGCUGGCCUCCUCCUCUCCCAGCCUGACCUACAGGCUGAUGGGACUGGCUGGGUGGGGCAGGAAUAACGCUGGGACCCAUGGGGACCACAGUCAGGACUGGGGGCUCUCUUUUCACUAAAAAGCCACAGAAAGCAUCAGCAAGUAUGAACAACCAUCCCAGGAGGCUGUGGGCUAACCCUGUGGGGUGUGUGUGGUGGGCAUAGCAUCUAGCGUGUGUGAGCUAUGGGUAGGAUGGCAUGGGGCAUCUGCAGACACAGAGAGUGUGGCUUGGGGACAAGUCAUAACUCAGCAUCACUGUCUGGCAUAUGAAGCAGGAUCCCAAUACCCACAAAUGCCAGGGUUGCCAGCUACAUUUCAUCCUCAAUCUCUCCCAAGGCCCAGUCCCAAGCCGAGCCUGGCUCCAGCAUGACCCUGAACCUCUCAGGAACCCCUGCCUGCUAACCACUUUUUCCUCUGCCCGUAGGAACCCGGCUGCUGGCAUGGGUACUGUGGCUGCAGGCCUGGCAGGUGGCAGCACCAUGCCCAGGUGCCUGUGUGUGCUACAGUGAGCCCAAGGUGACCAUGAGCUGCCCCCAGCAGGGCCUGCAGGCUGUGCCCACUGGCAUCCCAGCUGCCAGCCAGCGCAUCUUCCUGCACGGCAACCGCAUUUCCCAUAUUCCGGCUGCUGGCUUCCAUGCCUGCCGCAACCUCACCAUCCUGUGGCUGCAUUCCAAUGCACUGGCCCACAUUGACGCCACUGCCUUUGCUGGCCUGACCCUCCUGGAGCAGCUGGACCUCAGCGACAAUGCUCAACUUCGUGCCGUGGAUCCCACCACAUUCCAUGGCCUGAGCGCCUGCACACACUGCAUCUGGACCGCUGUGGCCUGCAGGAGCUGGGCCCCGGCCUGUUCCAUGGCCUGGCCGCGCCCUGCAGUACCUCUACCUGCAAGACAAUGGGCUACAAGCGCUGCCUGACGACGCCUUCCGUGACCUGGGCAACCUCACACCUUUUUCUGCACGGCAACCACAUCCCUAGCGUGCCUGGGCGCCUUCCGGGGCCUGCACAGCCUGGACCGCUCCUCUUGCACCAGAAUCGUGUGGCCCGCGUGCACCCGCAUGCCUUCCAUGACCUUGGUCGCCUCAUGACCCGCUCUACCUGUUUGCCAACAACCUCUCCAUGUUGCCCGCCGAGGCCCUGGCACCCCUGCGUGCCCUGCAGUACCUUCGGCUCAACGAUAACCCCUGGGUGUGUGAUUGCCGGGCACGCCCACUCUGGGCCUGGCUGCAGAAGUUCCGAGGUUCCUCUCGGAGGUGCCAUGCAGCUUUCCUGUGCUCCUGGCUGGCCGUGACCUUAAGCGACUAGCCUCCACUGACCUGGAGGGCUGUGCCCUGACCACUGGGCCCUUCCAUCCCAUCCGGACCAGUGGGGCCACCGAUGAGGAGCUGCUGGUGCUGCCCAAGUGCUGCCAGCCUGAUGCAGCAGACAAGGCCUCGGUGCUGGAGCCUGGGAGGCCAGCCUCAGCUGGCAAUGCCCUCAAGGGGCGUGUGCCUCCUGGUGACAGCCCGCCAGGCAAUGGCUCGGGCCCACGGCACAUCAAUGACUCUCCGUUUGGGACCCUGCCUAGCUCUGCAGAGCCUCCACUGACUGCACUGCGCCCUGAGGGUUCCCAGUCGCCAGGGCUCCCCCACCACUGGCCCCCGCCGGCGGCCAGGCUGUUCCCGAAAGAACCGCACCCGCAGCCAGUGCCGCCUGGGCCAGGCGGGCAGUGGAGGCAGCGGGGCAGCUGAUGCAGAGGCCUCGGGCACCCUGCCAGCCCUGGCCUGCAGCCUUGUGCCCCUGGGCCUUGCCCUGGUGCUAUGGACAGUACUUGGGCCCUGCUGAUCAGCCAUCAGCCACCAGAGCCUCUCAGCAGCCAGGUGUGUGUACAUAUGGGGUCUCCCUCCAUGCCGCCAGCCAGCGCCUGGGGAUGGGCCCCAUGGGGCAGGCCAGGCCCUCCCUGAUGGACGCCUCCCCUCUAGCCCAACCCCAUCUCCACCCCAUCAUGUUUACAGGGUCAGGGGGCUGCGUUUGUUCCAGAACGCUGUCUCCCACCCGGAUCGCGGUAUAUAGAGAUAUGCAUUUUAUUUUACUUGUGUAAAAAUAUUGGACGACGUGGAAUAAAGAGCUUUUUUCUUAAGCUGUGGCCUCCCCAGCUGUGGUGCUGUGGGUGGUGAGAGGCAAGGGUGGGCCAGGGGUGGCAUCUCUCCCAGCACUGGCACAUGAAGCCACCGAGAAGGAACAGAGCUGUCUGGCCACUUGGAUGCUACGCCCUGGGCUGACUGUGGGUGACUGGGACACCAGAUGUGAAGUAUCUGCACACCCCUCCAGUCAUGCCAGCUCAGCUUGCCCACAGCUGAAUCCCUGUCUGUGUCCAGCCAGCUUUCCCAAGAGAUGGGCCGACAGUGUGCAUGCCGGGCCCACGGGUCAGGACAAGGCUGCCUUUGUGGGGACAUCUGCUCUGGUACCUUCCAGCCUAGGUGUGGGGUACCCCCUGGAAGCUGAGGGCAGGAGGUGACGACCAUGCUCCCCCUGCUGGGGGAUGGGCAGGAGGGGAUGGCCUUAACACCACACACACAGCCCAGCAGCAGGCCCUCAAGGGUCUGCAUGCGCCCCCCUCCCACCACGUGUAUACAUGAGACCCAUACACAUGCACUGCAGGAAUCACACAUGCAUACACAUGCGUGCUUGCAUGUGCUGUAAAACAGUACACGUGACACAGACAAAAACAUGCACACACAUGCUUUUCCAAGGCCUGGGCCAGGGAGGCCUCCAAGGCCAAAGGGAAGGGACCAGUGGCCAGGAAACUGGGAGCUGGGGGCAGGGGCUGAAGGAGAGGGAGGAGAAAAACAAAUUUGGAAGAGGGAGUGGGGGAGCAUUGCUGGUGGAGCCAGAUGGCC